Molecule: long non-coding RNA, 2356 nt
Organism: Mastomys coucha (southern multimammate mouse)
Lineage: Eukaryota; Metazoa; Chordata; Mammalia; Rodentia; Muridae
Exons: 3
Source: RefSeq, a predicted model, not a curated record
CUACACCUUAAGUUUCUUUUGUGUUCUUCCAGGAGAGAAUUUGAACUGCAUGCAUUUUACUUGAAAAAUAAACUUAUAGAAGCAAGAAAGGCUAUCUCUGAAGCCAACAGACCGCCAAAAACAGGAGCUUAAGGCGGUAACAAGGUCAGAGCCACUGUCUUUGAGGAGUUGCCUGGGAGUUUGUGAGUCUGCUCUUUCCCAGAUGGCCAGAUACUAUUUCUCUCCAGAUUCUCUAAUACUGGUACCAAUGAGAGAAUUUAUUUUAAAAAUGCACCCAGGUGUUUGUGGUUGAAUAUAACUGGAGUCUAGUUUGGACUCUGGAGCCAUCCCUGGAAUGCCAUGUACCUGCCAACCAGAGGAGCCUCAUACUGUGACUCCAGGAGAAGCACAUUUGACAGGGUUCCUAGACUGUGGACUUAGUGUCUGUGAAGGUUGGUGGAGGCAAUCAAUCCUCAUAGUACCUCAUCAUCCAUGGAAAUUUAAAAUACCAUCAGUUAUCAUUGCUGCUGACUACAUACGACUGCUAAAUUAAAUUCUGAGUUAAUUAAAAUGAAAUGAAAUAAACAUUUGUGUCUGCUGGCCACAUGGAGAGACUUUGCAUGCACUCUUGACCCCGUGUCCAUGGAGCGCACAGAUACAGAACAUUCCCACCAUCACCGGAAGUUCUCUCAUUAGUUUCUAGCUUAAUUCUACCAAUGAGCACACACGUAUUUGUGACAACACUGGCAAAACCAUCUUCUCAUUGUGCGUCUCAUGAGUACCUUAUGUGACGGGCAAGUGUGCAUCCAGGAGCUAUGGGUGCUGAAUUCAUGGGUAAAUGAUCAGCCUGUCUGUACCCCUCACCUGCUUAGCAUCUGAUGCUCCCUCUCCUCUGAUGUUCACAGGCUUAUCAAUCAACAAAGCGUGAGACAAUGAAGGCAACUGAAUCUCCCCCUUCGCCAAUUGCAGCUUCAGCACCCAUCACCAUGUUAACUUCGAAUAUAUCCUUCCUAGACCGGCUCCCCGCAGCCCACAUCUAGACUCAAUGAACAAUGCAAAUGAGGAAUCUGAGAGGAUUCAGAGAGGCUCUAACACUGCUUCCUGCCCAUCCUAAGCUAGCUAGAAGCCUCGGGUGCUUGGACUCACGGGUCACAGAGACUAUGUCCUGCUGACAAUUUCCCGAGGUCUUAGCAGUUACACUUCCUUUGCUUUGAUCAAAGCUUGGCGUGAGUUGUUAACUACAAGGGAGAAACAGUUAAAGAGUUCAGCCCCGUGAUUCGGCACUCAGGCAGCCAACUGCACGGAAACAAAGUACUAACUCAGAGAGUUAGCUUCAUAAUUCAUGCUAGAAAUCUCUUCAAGACUGAAAGUCUGGCCUUUUACCAAGCCAUCUGGUUCAUUCAACCUUCUCCUCUCCUAUCAGAAUUCUGAAUGCAAAACCCUGCCAACAAUUAAGUGUUGAAACCAUUUCUAGAGGUUCUUAGACUUGAGUUAGAAUGGUGGGGCCAGUUCCAGGGAGGCAUUUGAAAUGAAUGUAACUUUGGGAUGAAUGUUUGCCGUCUGCCUUUGCAGGUGUAAGAAAUGAGGAAGCCGAGACAUUUUUGUUUAGCUUAGAGCCAGUUAUUACAAAGCUGAUUCUGCGACCUACAAAGCAAAAUCAAAGAAGGGAAAGAUAGUGUUUUUUGAACAUGAUUCCAAAAAAACCACAGAUCAUGUUGCAGGAACAUCCUUAGGCAGCUGGGCAUGGAUACUAGUAAAAGUGGAAAGUGUAGUGUGUCAAAACCGUAAGUGUCAGGUCACCCUUUGCCGAAAGUUAAUAACAAGCGGGAAGCAAAAGAUUGCUCAUUAUUUUUACUGGCCCCGCUUUCCAGCAGAGUGCCUGCAUUGCCUGUUCUUUGCAUUCUGCCUUCCUGCAGGUCAUUACAGCACACAAAACUCCUGAGGGUGAUGGCUUUGUCAGAAAGAGUUCAUGCAGGGGCUCGAAGCCUCAAGCUGACAGGUUGUUGAUCACUGAGCCAAAACCAAGGUGGCCAUGCAAAGAAGAGCCAGAGGGUCCAAGAGCAUUCACUAAGCUGGCUGCACUGGACUUCCUGUCAGCAUGACUACAGUAACCACAUCAUCAGGGAUGUCCACACUUCAAAUGCGUCAUUGUUCCUGGUGGACGAUCCUAUUCAUUUCCAGAUCGAAGCCUGCUGACCUACCUACAAGAGGAUGAAGAAGUUACCAGGUUAGCUGAGGAAGCAUGAAUAGGGCAAAAUCACAGAGAAAUGUAUAUUUGUACAAUUAUCCAGUUGUGUUAUCUGCCCAUUUCACUCCUAUUCUGUUGAAUAUUCUAGUGUACCUGAUCAGGACAUAUUGCUCGUAAUAAACCCUAAUU